UUUAACUGAGCGUUCAGUUACUUGACGUAGACCCGAAACCGGGCGACCUACCCAUGAGCAGGAUGAAGCGAAAGUAAAAUUUCGUGGAGGUCCGAACCCACGAGCGUUGAAAAGCUCGGGGAUGACUUGUGGGUAGCGGUGAAAUUCCAAUCGAGCCCGGAGAUAGCUGGUUCUCCCCGAAAUAGCUUUAGGGCUAGCCUCAAGGUGAGAGAUACGGAGGUAGAGCACUGAAUGUCCUAGGGGGUAUUGCACCUACCGAAGACUAUCAAACUCCGAAUGCCGUCAUCUUAUACUUGGGAGUCAGACUGUGGGUGAUAAGAUUCAUAGUCGAAAGGGCAACAGCCCAGAUCGUCAGCUAAGGUCCCUAAAUGUAAGUUAAGUGGUAAAGGAUGUGGGAUUGCACAGACAACCAGGAUGUUGGCUUAGAAGCAGCCACUCAUUCAAAGAGUGCGUAAUAGCUCACUGGUCGAGUGAUCCUGCGCCGAAGAUUUCCGGGGCUAAAACUUACUACCGAAGCUACGGCAUCAGUAAUGAUGGGUAGGGGAGCUUCCCAUACGGGUUGAAGCAUGACCGUAAGGACAUGUGGACAGUAUGGGAGUGAGAAUGUUGGCAUGAGUAGCGAGAUGUGGGUGAGAAUCCCACAGGCCGUAAACCCAAGGUUUCCAGGGGAAGG
Molecule: ribosomal RNA, 673 nt
Filed under: Clostridioides difficile
Lineage: Bacteria; Bacillati; Bacillota; Clostridia; Peptostreptococcales; Peptostreptococcaceae
Description: partial 23S ribosomal RNA
Rfam family: Bacterial large subunit ribosomal RNA
Source: RNAcentral